GUCCAGAACGACUCUCGGCAACGGAUAUCUCGGCUCUUGCAUCGAUGAAGAACGUAGCGAAAUGCGGUACUUGGUGUGAAUUGCAGAAUCCCGUGAACCAUCGAGUCUUUGAACGCAAGUUGCGCCCGAAGCCAUUAGGCCAAGGGCACGCCUGCCUGGGUGUCACUAA
Molecule: ribosomal RNA, 169 nt
Filed under: Amicia zygomeris
Lineage: Eukaryota; Viridiplantae; Streptophyta; Magnoliopsida; Fabales; Fabaceae
Description: 5.8S ribosomal RNA
Rfam family: 5.8S ribosomal RNA
About the family: 5.8S ribosomal RNA (5.8S rRNA) is a component of the large subunit of the eukaryotic ribosome. It is transcribed by RNA polymerase I as part of the 45S precursor that also contains 18S and 28S rRNA. Functionally, it is thought that 5.8S rRNA may be involved in ribosome translocation.
Source: RNAcentral